RNAcentral lists this ribosomal RNA (497 nucleotides) under uncultured bacterium. RNAcentral describes it as "partial 16S ribosomal RNA". It matches the Rfam family "Bacterial small subunit ribosomal RNA", at positions 28 to 507 of the family's 1533-position model. The record is from RNAcentral.
GAUGAACGCUGGCGGCGUGCCUAAUACAUGCAAGUCGAGCGAACAGACGAGGAGCUUGCUCCUCUGACGUUAGCGGCGGACGGGUGAGUAACACGUGGAUAACCUACCUAUAAGACUGGGAUAACUUCGGGAAACCGGAGCUAAUACCGGAUAAUAUAUUGAACCGCAUGGUUCAAUAGUGAAAGACGGUUUUGCUGUCACUUAUAGAUGGUUCCGCGCCGCAUUAGCUAGUUGGUAAGGUAACGGCUUACCAAGGCGACGAUGCGUAGCCGACCUGAGAGGGUGAUCGGCCACACUGGAACUGAGACACGGUCCAGACUCCUACGGGAGGCAGCAGUAGGGAAUCUUCCGCAAUGGGCGAAAGCCUGACGGAGCAACGCCGCGUGAGUGAUGAAGGUCUUCGGAUCGUAAAACUCUGUUAUUAGGGAAGAACAAAUGUGUAAGUAACUAUGCACGUCUUGACGGUACCUAAACAGAAAGCCACGGCUAACUACGUG